Molecule: ribosomal RNA, 284 nt
Filed under: uncultured Gammaproteobacteria bacterium
Lineage: Bacteria; Pseudomonadati; Pseudomonadota; Gammaproteobacteria
Description: partial 16S ribosomal RNA
Rfam family: Bacterial small subunit ribosomal RNA
Source: RNAcentral
UGCAAACCCGCGAGGGGGAGCCAAUCUCACAAAACGCAUCGUAGUCCGGAUCGCAGUCUGCAACUCGACUGCGUGAAGUCGGAAUCGCUAGUAAUCGUGAAUCAGAAUGUCACGGUGAAUACGUUCCCGGGCCUUGUACACACCGCCCGUCACACCAUGGGAGUGGAUUGCACCAGAAGUGGUUAGUCUAACCUUCGGGAGGACGAUCACCACGGUGUGGUUCAUGACUGGGGUGAAGUCGUAACAAGGUAGCCGUAGGGGAACCUGUGGAUGGAUCACCUCCU